Molecule: long non-coding RNA, 1850 nt
Organism: Daucus carota subsp. sativus
Lineage: Eukaryota; Viridiplantae; Streptophyta; Magnoliopsida; Apiales; Apiaceae
Exons: 6
Source: RefSeq, a predicted model, not a curated record
UCUAAUCACUACUAGAAAAAUGACAUUAGACAUCGCACUUUAGACAUCGGUUAGAAAUACCCCUGAUGUUAAAAGUAUAUCUUACAUCAAAUAAAUCAAAAACGAUGUCUAUUAACAAUCUAAACAUCAGUUAUUGUUAAAAAUGAUGUCUUAUUCCCAGUUUCAAAAAAUGAAAAACAACCCGCUCAUUAUUCCCCCUUAUUACAGAUAUAUUCCUCCUUAACCAAAUUUUAUUUCCCACCUUCACCAAAAUCUUAUUUCCCCUCUUUCUUUCUUUUCUUCUCGGCUAUGUCUCUCGAGUCUCGACUGACGACUUUCUCGACCCUCUCUCUCUUUUUCGACUCUCUCGACUCUCUCUUCUCCCACCUCUACUCUCCCUAUCUCGUCUAUCUGGUCUCUCUCACACCAUCGAUCUUGCUCCGACAUUCAUAUAGUAGUUAGGGUUCAAUUGGGUAAACCCUAAUUUGUUUCUAUUGGAGACACAACUCGAAGAAAUUAGCAACUUGAAGCAAUUAGUAGAUUGAAACUCAGCUCUGAGAAACGCAACCUGCAAAUUAUAAGUUCGAUUGGGUUUAAGGGUUUGAUUGGUUCAAUUGGGUUUUAGGGUUCUUUUCCGAGUCUCCAUCUUCUUUUUCAAGGGAACCAAAUCAGAGAUGCCAUGGUCAUUGCAGUAUAUUUUUUUUUGUCUUGUUCACCUUGCUGUUUACGGAAUCUUUCGAUAAUAUGUUUAUGGCUGGGUCAAGAAAGUACUCUGUUUGUUUAUAUCAGAGGCUCACAGAACUAGAUGGAUUUGUUCUCUCAUUCGACCCAAAACCCAUCCCGGGUGUCUUGGACAGGGGAGCUACUUCUAUUUUCCGUCCCCUGCAUUCUAGUUCCUUUUUCCCCAUCCGCUUGAGAUUUUAUGGUGCUAGUCGGUGACUGGUUCAAGCAAAAUCACAUUGAGUGCUUAUAUUAUUGACUUCUGUAGGAUUUGAAAUCAAUUUUGGACAGUGGAAUAAUCUUCCCUUUCCAGAUGGAAUUGUUAUUAAAGGACUGUCAGCAAACUCGUAAACUUUUACCAUUGAUCAAGGUAAAACUUAUAGGUUCCGGAUAUCAAAUGUGGGCCUUACUACCAACCAAGCACGUUCAAUCAGGUACGGACCUGCCCAGCUACAUAUUGCCUUGCAGAUUGUUGCUAUAAUUUUAUUCAUCUAGUAAUGCAAAGUGCAAAACGAGCAAUAAUGUGUAUUUGUGUGUAUGUGCACGUCCAUGCGGCUGAGCUCUGCGCUGAUCUGCACGUUGAAUAUGCCUUGUUUAAUUUUAAUAUGAAAAAUGCAGACUUGGCUCUUUGUUUAGUCUCAAACUAGCAAACAGUUCUCUGAGACCUCUUUCUCUAACCUGGCUCUUUGUUGAGUGCACCUUCUAUUGUAGUGUGGUUAUUCUUCUCCUACUCAAGCUGCUGAUGAAGUACCUAUAGUGUCAAAUGAUAUGAUGCCUUCUGAUUUACUUCAUGCAGUUGCAAGUCAGGUUUUCUGGAUUCCAAAAAGUUAAAUGAUUAUCCUCUUUUACUAUUUCAUUAAGAUAUAAGCAUGAUUUAUAUAUGAGAGCUUGUGAUUUGACAUGGCAUAAUAACUUCUCUACAGGCUCUGCUAAGGAGGCAGAGUUUCCAAAGAGAAGAGUCUCCUACUAUGUGCUGCAAGCUAGAGACAUUUGCUAGAGUUUACAAGCUAGGCCAAAAAUUUUGGCAGUAUAAUUUGAUGGAUUAAUGGAUAAUGUAAUUUUGUGUUUAAUCUGCAUUGGUUGUGUUGAUAUCAAUGUAGUUUUGAUAUUGUAUGGUUUGGAUUAUGUAGUUGGUUUCAAUAUUUGAUGAA